This 497-nucleotide ribosomal RNA is filed under the name uncultured bacterium. RNAcentral's name for it is "partial 16S ribosomal RNA". It matches the Rfam family "Bacterial small subunit ribosomal RNA", at positions 28 to 507 of the family's 1533-position model. The record is from RNAcentral.
GAUGAACGCUGGCGGCGUGCCUAAUACAUGCAAGUCGAGCGAACAGAUGAGGAGCUUGUUCCUCUGACAUUAGCGGCGGACGGGUGAGUAACACGUGGAUAACCUACCUAUAAGACUGGGAUAACUUCGGGAAACCGGAGCUAAUACCGGAUAAUAUAUUUAACCGCAAGGUUCAAUAGUGAAAGACGGUAUUGCUGUCCCUUAAAGAUAGCUCCGCGCCGCAUUAGCAAGUUGGUAAGGUAACGGCUUACCAAGGCAACGAUGCGUAGCCGACCUGAGAGGGUGAUCGGCCACACUGGAACUGGGACACGGUCCAGACUCCUACGGGAGGCAGCAGUAGGGAAUCUUCCGCAAUGGGCGAAAUCCUGACGGAGCAACGCCGCGUGAGUGAUGAAGGUCUUCGGAUCGUAAAACUCUGUUAUUAGGGAAGAACAAAUGUGUAAGUAACUAUGCACGUCUUGACGGUACCUAAUCAGAAAGCCACGGCUAACUACGUG